UUUUCUCUUUGUCUUCUUCUUUUUUGUAUUAAAAUUCUAUAAAAUCUGAACCAAAUUUCUCAUAUUAGAUUUCUCUAUUGUUGUUGAAUAUAUGAGGUGAUUGAUCUCUAUGUGGGUUUCGCUGUAUCUGUUGAGGAAGCAAAUGUGUGUUGAUGGAUAGUUCUUUACAGAUGGAGUCCCAAGAAGGCAAGAAGCCUCUUCAGAUAUCUUUAUCAUUCAUUCCAUAGUCUCUGUAACUAUUGUUCAACAUAGUUUAAUAUUGGAAGUCAAUGGAUUGUUGGCUGAUUAGGCAAAGAUCAAUGGAUUUGUUGGUUAAAGAUAGUUGGGUUAUCAAGCAGCCAAUUAAAUUUUAUUUUUGCUGAGAUUGUAUUCAUUGUAAUCAGUCACUAAGGGAUUUUUAAUUCAUACAUUUUCCAGGCAAUAGUUUUGGCAGGCGAUUGAAGAAACAAUUUUGCAUCAGAAUCUCAGCCAAAAGAGGAUCAGAUUGUGUUUGUGCCAUGCGAUCGUACUGAGGUUUCCAUGCUACAGUGGUUGGUGGUAUAGUAGCUGCUCUGUUAAAAAAUGUUCUCGACAUAUGAGAUCAAAGAUAGGAGGUGAUGGUUUAUCCUGCCCUAUUCAUGGAGAUUAGGAUUUAGUUCCGGUGUAUGUUAUCAGCCCCAAUAUAAAUUCCUUCUUUGUUGACCUAUUGUUCUGAUAGUUUUUGUAUCAUCAUUGUUUUAAUAGUCACUUACAAAUAGUGGUAAUUCUAUAUCUGAUCAAUAUUUGCGUGCCUCAUUAGUAAUACAUGCUCAUAUACUUAUAUGGUCUAUGAAAGAUGUAUUAACAUAAUAAAUAUAAACUCAAUAAGUAUAGACUCUUUAUGAUAAUAAAGGAUGAUAAGAACCAGAUUACUGUGACU
This is a long non-coding RNA of Argentina anserina (silverweed cinquefoil), 898 nucleotides long. RefSeq lists it as uncharacterized. Lineage: Eukaryota; Viridiplantae; Streptophyta; Magnoliopsida; Rosales; Rosaceae. The record is from RefSeq and is a predicted model, not a curated record. The transcript has 3 exons.